GCAGCAGCCGCGGGAAUACGAAGGGGGCUAGCGUUGUUCGGAUUUACUGGGCGUAAAGGGCGCGUAGGCGGGCGAAUAAGUCAGGGGUGAAAUCCCAAGGCUCAACCUUGGAACUGCCUUUGAUACUGUUUGUCUUGAGUUCGAGAGAGGUAAGUGGAACUGCGAGUGUAGAGGUGAAAUUCGUAGAUAUUCGCAAGAACACCAGUGGCGAAGGCGGCUUACUGGCUCGAAACUGACGCUGAGGCGCGAAAGCGUGGGGAGCAAACAGGAUUAGAUACCCGAGUAGUCCCUGUCUCUUAUAC
This 302-nucleotide ribosomal RNA is filed under the name uncultured bacterium. Its description in RNAcentral is "partial 16S ribosomal RNA". It matches the Rfam family "Bacterial small subunit ribosomal RNA", at positions 508 to 807 of the family's 1533-position model. The record is from RNAcentral.